AUGAACAGGAAGUUGUGUCCAGACCAGGAAAGUGAAGGAAAAAGUGGUACACUUCAAACCACUACACAGAUGUCUACUCAGCAACCUGCUAGUAGCCUAAGUGAAGCAGCCGCAUUACUCAACAGUAUAUUAGCCUCAGCAGAGACCAUCAGAACUUUGUCAAAUGCGACAGUCGUGGGGCAGCAACCUGUUGCAAGUACCAGUGUGGACGGACUGGAUAGUCACUUAACAUCCCUCUUUCCCUCACGUCAGCGUAGCAGCUUGCCCAUGCCAGCGACAUCUACAGUCAGGAGAGAAUGUGCACCUGCACCACGUUAUCAAACUCGGCAAUGCUUCGGCAGCUGGACAUCAGGCACCAGAAGAAAAAGAGCUAUGGCCCAGCAGCAUGACCAUUUCAACAAAGAUGUUAUACUACUUCCAGCUCCAUCAUGGGGAGUAGUGUGCAAACAAGGUUCAAAAUUAUGGUUACACAAACAUGGGCACAUCCUCAGUGCUUUUCAAUUCCAGAAGACCUGGGACAACCAAACUGUCGUGAAACACAUCAAGGAAAGCUUUGGUGAACGCAUUCCAGAGGAUGUCAGCCUCGAGUUUCUAAUGGCUUGUGGCAAUAAGCUGGUGUCUCCAAAGCUCCAAGAUGGUCAGGAGCUGAAUGGGAUGCUGAUCCUAAAGGUUUUUAAAACCAAAGCCCUCUAUGUAAGGCCAUCAAGGACACUUUUAAGUGAAUCAGAUGAAGACAAAGAUCCUUCUUACAUCAGCUCCAAAUCAGCAUUAAGCAGUUGUGCAACUGAUAAGGACAGUGACAAUGAUUGUUUUGAAGUUGAUAGUUCAAAAAUCCAACAAGACAUGAGCAGCCAAAUCACUACAAGGUUAAGAAGUCAUGUUAAAGGUGAUAACCCUGGCACUAGCAGUGAUGAAGAAGAUGAUACUGGGACCAACUGUAUUGGAAGGAGUGUUGGUAAAAGGCGACGAGCAAAGCAAGGAAGUGAUGGGAACAGCAUUUGUGAUGAAGGCUACAUGGCAAGAAGUGAUGACAAACCUAGCACAAGCAGUCACAGCAGAGAUUUCAAUGCAAGAAGUGAAGACAUCCCUGCCAUGAGUGUUAAUGAUGAAGAUUAUUCUUCAUAUUUAACUCUCGUGGCAUCGCUUUCUGGCGAUUCUUCAGAUGAUGAGGAUUUAAAUCAAGCUAUAAUUGCGAGCUUGGAGAAUCAGAUUGCAGAAAAAGUCCCUGUUCAAGAGAUACUGCUGGAACUAUCAAGCAAAAUUAGCACAAAACAGCAGUGCAAAUUUAACAUAAAUCGCUCUGCUGUGUGGGAGGGAGCCUUGCGUGUUUUCAGAGGCUAUCUUAUGAUCCCAACUUGA
RNAcentral lists this long non-coding RNA (1359 nucleotides) under Oreochromis niloticus (Nile tilapia). Its description in RNAcentral is "lncRNA (ENSONIG00000036673.1)". Lineage: Eukaryota; Metazoa; Chordata; Actinopteri; Cichliformes; Cichlidae. The record is from RNAcentral.